UAUUGGAUGGUAAUGCUAACGGUUAUGUU
Molecule: small RNA, 29 nt
Filed under: Bombyx mori (domestic silkworm)
Lineage: Eukaryota; Metazoa; Arthropoda; Insecta; Lepidoptera; Bombycidae
Description: ovarian small RNA-24255
Source: RNAcentral